Molecule: ribosomal RNA, 1346 nt
Filed under: uncultured bacterium
Lineage: Bacteria
Description: bacterial SSU rRNA
Rfam family: Bacterial small subunit ribosomal RNA
Source: RNAcentral
GACGAACGCUGGCGGCGUGCUUAACACAUGCAAGUCGAACGGAAAGGCCCUGCUUUUGUGGGGUGCUCGAGUGGCGAACGGGUGAGUAACACGUGAGUAACCUGCCCUUGACUUUGGGAUAACUUCAGGAAACUGGGGCUAAUACCGGAUAGGAGCUCCUGCUGCAUGGUGGGGGUUGGAAAGUUUCGGCGGUUGGGGAUGGACUCGCGGCUUAUCAGCUUGUUGGUGGGGUAGUGGCUUACCAAGGCUUUGACGGGUAGCCGGCCUGAGAGGGUGACCGGCCACAUUGGGACUGAGAUACGGCCCAGACUCCUACGGGAGGCAGCAGUGGGGAAUAUUGCACAAUGGGCGGAAGCCUGAUGCAGCAACGCCGCGUGCGGGAUGACGGCCUUCGGGUUGUAAACCGCUUUCGCCUGUGACGAAGCGUGAGUGACGGUAAUGGGUAAAGAAGCACCGGCUAACUACGUGCCAGCAGCCGCGGUGAUACGUAGGGUGCGAGCGUUGUCCGGAUUUAUUGGGCGUAAAGGGCUCGUAGGUGGUUGAUCGCGUCGGAAGUGUAAUCUUGGGGCUUAACCCUGAGCGUGCUUUCGAUACGGGUUGACUUGAGGAAGGUAGGGGAGAAUGGAAUUCCUGGUGGAGCGGUGGAAUGCGCAGAUAUCAGGAGGAACACCAGUGGCGAAGGCGGUUCUCUGGGCCUUUCCUGACGCUGAGGAGCGAAGGCGUGGGGAGCGAACAGGCUUAGAUACCCUGGUAGUCCACGCUGUAAACGGUGGGUACUAGGUGUGGGGUCCAUUCCACGGGUUCCGUGCCGUAGCUAACGCUUUAAGUACCCCGCCUGGGGAGUACGGCCGCAAGGCUAAAACUCAAAGGAAUUGACGGGGCCCCGCACAAGCGGCGGAGCAUGCGGAUUAAUUCGAUGCAACGCGUAGAACCUUACCUGGGUUUGACAUGGAUCGGGAGCGCUCAGAGAUGGGUGUGCCUCUUUUGGGGUCGGUUCACAGGUGGUGCAUGGCUGUCGUCAGCUCGUGUCGUGAGAUGCUGGGUUAAGUCCCGCAACGAGCGCAACCCUUGUUCACUGUUGCCAGCACGUUAUGGUGGGGACUCAGUGGAGACCGCCGGGGUCAACUCGGAGGAAGGUGGGGAUGACGUCAAGUCAUCAUGCCCCUUAUGUCCAGGGCUUCACGCAUGCUACAAUGGCUGGUACAGAGAGUGGCGAGCCUGUGAGGGUGAGCGAAUCUCGGAAAGCCGGUCUCAGUUCGGAUUGGGGUCUGCAACUCGACCUCAUGAAGUCGGAGUCGCUAGUAAUCGCAGAUCAGCAACGCUGCGGUGAAUACGUUCCCGGGGCU